GAAACAAGUUCUUUUUUAAAUUUCUCUUCAGCAAUUUGGAAUAUUUUGUGUAUGCCCAUUACAUGAAAUCCAAUUAAAAAUCCAUUGAAAAUUACAGGUUGUAAUGCAACAAAAUUGGAAGAACACCAAGGGGGAUGAAUACUUUUGCAAGGCACUGUACCUAGAGAGUUUGCAUCUAUAUUCUUUGUAGCUGUCUAUUUACCUACACAAACAGAUGCUGGCACAAGACCGUACUCACUGAGCUGUAUAAGGCCAUAAGCAAAGAGGAAAAUGCUCAUACAGAGGCGGAGCACCUAGUGGCCGGGGACUUUGAUUCAGGGAAACUUAAAUCCAGCAAGUUAAAUGUGCAACCAGAGGGGAGGAAAAUAAAAAAUACAAAUGUUUUUUUUUAACUAUAAAGCACCUUUAUUCCACAUACAGAGGCGAGUACAAAGCUUUCCCUCACCCUCCAUUUGGCAAAUCUGACCAUAAUUCUAUCCUCCUGAUUCCUGCUUACAAGCAAAAAUUUAAAGCACAAAGCACCAGGGACCCUGUCAAAAAAAAAAAUAGGGGUGAGAUGAAGCAGAUGCUAAACUACAGGACUGUUUUGCUAGCACAGAAUGGAAUAUGUUCAGGGAUUAUUCUGAUGGCAUUGAGGAAUACACCACAUCAGUCAUUGGCUUCAUCAAUAAGUGCAUCAAUGAUGUUGUCCCCACAGUGACUGUAAAUACAUACCCCAACCAGAAGACAUGGAUAACAGGCAACAUCCACACUGAGCUAAAGGGUAGAGCUGCUGCUUUCAAGGAGGGGGACCUUAACCCAGAAGCUUAUAACAAAUCCCGCUAUGCCCUCAGAUGACCCAUCAAUACAGGACUAAGAUCGAAUCGUACUACACCAGCUCUAAUGCUUCUCGGAUGUGACAGGGCUUGCAAACUAUAACAGACUUCAAAAAGGUAAGUACAGCCGAGAGCUGCCCAGUGACACAUGCCUACCAGAUGAGCUAAAUUAAUUAUAUGCUUGCUUCGA
This is a long non-coding RNA of Oncorhynchus tshawytscha (Chinook salmon), 1005 nucleotides long. NCBI's taxonomy places the organism in Eukaryota, Metazoa, Chordata, Actinopteri, Salmoniformes, Salmonidae. The record is from Ensembl.